UCAGUUUCUGUGUUGGGGAGGAAGAGGUGGUGGGGGAAACUUAACAGCAGGUGUUACUUCGAGGGCUAGAAAGGUCCCAUUGUCUCCUCUGCAAUAAACUGCCUGGUUUUCACCUGCUGACAAAUCACAAAUUCGCUUACCAUUAAAAUUCUGGGUCAUUACUUCAUUAGUUUAACAAGUCUUUAUUAAAUGCCUACUGAGGGUCAAGCACCGGGCUAGGUAUUGGGGAUAGAGAGAUGAAUAAUAUUUGUUUAACGAGUAUUUAUUGAGUGUCUGUUCUGUGCUAGGUACUAUGUUAGACCCUGGGGAUACCACUCAUUCCGUCUCCUCAAGGGAAUUGCUUGCAGCUAAGUCAAGUAAACAGACACUUGCAUGGGAAGGAUUACCUCUUCACUUGGCCAAGGAGGAGAGAGAGGAGCCUGGAGCCCUGAUGUCUCUGCCAGGAGCCUGAGCUUUUAGAGCUAGUCUUGGGCAAGACCCAGAAGCAAGCAACCAACAUCAAGAGCCCAGUGCCCCUCCCAGCAUGGCCAACUGACUGGUAACCCUGGGCCUGUGCUAAUACAGUGGCCACCAGCAGCAUGUGGCUCUCGAGCACUUGCGCGGAGGAUCUUUGUUUCUGUUUUACAGCUCUGUCCGGGAGCUUGUCUUCACUGCACAGUUGGUACGUAGGGUCACUGGGACUUGAACCCAUCUUGUCUGCCCCAAAGCCAGCCCUUCACCACCACACUGGCCUCUUGUCCUGCUCUCCAAGGAGUGUCUGUGCACUUUCUGAACCCAGACAGGUGAUUGGGUCAUGUCUGCCUGUGCGGAGGGACCUCCCUUCCUGCUCGGCUCCACCUGGGCCCAGCUUUAGAAGCCACCUGUGUUGUUCUACUGAUAACAGUGUUUGCCCUUCCAGAGCCAGGACCAUAAAAAGCAGCUUUCAAAGUCACUGCCGCAGAAAUGUCAACAUGAAGGGGAGGCCAGUCAUGCUUUCUGAGGUGGAAUGUCACCUCUGGACUGCCUCAAAGGCUUUGCCAGAAGGACCUUCAGAGUCCAGGAGCCUGGGGUCUAGACUUGCUUCUACCACAAACAUACUGUGCUACCUUGGGCAGGUUUCCUGCUUUCUCUGGGCCUUGUUCUUGUCCUCAGAGUAAAGAGAGGGCUGGACUUGAAGACCUUAAAGGUCUCUAUCCCUAAAAUGUUUAACCUCCUCCACUCUCGAUCUUGGGGAUAACACCCAGACACAGCCUGUACUGACUGUGAAAUGCUUUAUGUAGCAAUCUUCAAAACAAAACCACCCCAAAACCUGGACCUGGAUUUUUUUUCAAAAUCUCCAACAAUGUCGCCAUUGAAAUGGUAAAGCUACUCAUUAAUAUAUUGUAAAAAGUGAUUUUGUGAUUUUCUCCAUGUAUGAAAAAAUGCUCCCCACCCCUGACACUGGGCCCAGAGCCCCAAAAUAUAAAACCACAGUCAAACCACUAGGAUUCUACAGAGCUCAGGUGUUUGGACAAAUUGCCCUCACUUGAGAACACAGGGCAAUUUUCUCAACUUUUAAAAUGUUUUCUCCCUUCUCCCCCCCUUUUCUGGGGUUUUCGCCCUUGCUUGUAACUUAAACCACAAAUAAAGCUUUAAGCCUC
Long non-coding RNA from Felis catus (domestic cat), 1619 nucleotides. RefSeq lists it as uncharacterized. The transcript has 2 exons. The record is from RefSeq and is a predicted model, not a curated record. NCBI's taxonomy places the organism in Eukaryota, Metazoa, Chordata, Mammalia, Carnivora, Felidae.